RNAcentral lists this ribosomal RNA (1058 nucleotides) under Salmonella enterica. RNAcentral's name for it is "bacterial SSU rRNA". It matches the Rfam family "Bacterial small subunit ribosomal RNA", at positions 55 to 1102 of the family's 1533-position model. The record is from RNAcentral. Lineage: Bacteria; Pseudomonadati; Pseudomonadota; Gammaproteobacteria; Enterobacterales; Enterobacteriaceae.
AUGCAAGUCGAACGGUAACAGGAAGCAGCUUGCUGCUUCGCUGACGAGUGGCGGACGGGUGAGUAAUGUCUGGGAAACUGCCUGAUGGAGGGGGAUAACUACUGGAAACGGUGGCUAAUACCGCAUAACGUCGCAAGACCAAAGAGGGGGACCUUCGGGCCUCUUGCCAUCAGAUGUGCCCAGAUGGGAUUAGCUUGUUGGUGAGGUAACGGCUCACCAAGGCGACGAUCCCUAGCUGGUCUGAGAGGAUGACCAGCCACACUGGAACUGAGACACGGUCCAGACUCCUACGGGAGGCAGCAGUGGGGAAUAUUGCACAAUGGGCGCAAGCCUGAUGCAGCCAUGCCGCGUGUAUGAAGAAGGCCUUCGGGUUGUAAAGUACUUUCAGCGGGGAGGAAGGUGUUGUGGUUAAUAACCGCAGCAAUUGACGUUACCCGCAGAAGAAGCACCGGCUAACUCCGUGCCAGCAGCCGCGGUAAUACGGAGGGUGCAAGCGUUAAUCGGAAUUACUGGGCGUAAAGCGCACGCAGGCGGUCUGUCAAGUCGGAUGUGAAAUCCCCGGGCUCAACCUGGGAACUGCAUUCGAAACUGGCAGGCUUGAGUCUUGUAGAGGGGGGUAGAAUUCCAGGUGUAGCGGUGAAAUGCGUAGAGAUCUGGAGGAAUACCGGUGGCGAAGGCGGCCCCCUGGACAAAGACUGACGCUCAGGUGCGAAAGCGUGGGGAGCAAACAGGAUUAGAUACCCUGGUAGUCCACGCCGUAAACGAUGUCUACUUGGAGGUUGUGCCCUUGAGGCGUGGCUUCCGGAGCUAACGCGUUAAGUAGACCGCCUGGGGAGUACGGCCGCAAGGUUAAAACUCAAAUGAAUUGACGGGGGCCCGCACAAGCGGUGGAGCAUGUGGUUUAAUUCGAUGCAACGCGAAGAACCUUACCUGGUCUUGACAUCCACAGAACUUUCCAGAGAUGGAUUGGUGCCUUCGGGAACUGUGAGACAGGUGCUGCAUGGCUGUCGUCAGCUCGUGUUGUGAAAUGUUGGGUUAAGUCCCGCAACGAGCGCAAC